UACGGAGGAUGCAAGCGUUAUCCGGAAUGAUUGGGCGUAAAGCGUCCGCAGGUGGCUAUGUAAGUCUGCUGUUAAAGAGUGAGGCUCAACCUCAUAAGAGCAGUGGAAACUACAUGGCUAGAGUGCGUUCGGGGCAGAGGGAAUUCCUGGUGUAGCGGUGAAAUGCGUAGAUAUUGGGAGGAACACCGGUGGCGAAGGCGGCUCUCUGGACCGGUACUGACGCUGAGACGCGAAAGCCAGGGGAGCAAACGGG
This 253-nucleotide ribosomal RNA is filed under the name uncultured bacterium. RNAcentral's name for it is "partial 16S ribosomal RNA". It matches the Rfam family "Bacterial small subunit ribosomal RNA", at positions 524 to 776 of the family's 1533-position model. The record is from RNAcentral.